CCCCCCCACCCCACCUCCUGCUACCUGGCUAUUGUUUUUGAAGAAUGGUUGACAGAAAGUUCAUGGGCUAAGAAACAGAAACUGAAAGAAGAGGAUUGUAUAAUUUUCUUUCCUGCUCGCUGCUACUUUAAAGCUUUUUAUUGGCAUAUCAUAUACUUCUGUGGAGAUGUACACAUCGUAAGUACAAAGCUUAAGAGUCAGUACAAGGGGCGGAGCCAUGGCUCGGCAGGAAAAGGUCCCUGACGCCAAACCUGGCAGCCUGAGUCCAGUCUUUGGGACCCACGUGUCGGAAGAAGAGAACUGACUCCUGAAGUUUCCUCUGAGUUCCUCCAGCAAACUGUGGCUAGCAUGCGCUCCUCCCGCACAAGACAGAGAGAAGGACAAUUUCUCUAUGGUCCUGUGGCCUCUUUUCUGAAUUCUGAUCAAGUUGCUAUGAGAACUUAGUUUCCUUGUGGCAUGUCAGGAAUUGUGGGCCAGCCUGGACCAGGAUCUGCUCAGGAAGAGAAUGAAGAUAUUCUUUAUGUACAGAAAUAAUUGCAAAAAUGGUCUCCAAGAAACUGGAAUUUCCCCAGGAAUCUUCAUGCUGAAAGAAGGAAAAGGCUGAAGCUUGUACCAGCCAGAGGAGGACCUUGCCUCUCAGUGUUGUUCACAUCCAGAGAACCAAAUAUGUUAGAUGGAAAAGGUCAGUUCAAAUCACUGUUGAAUCAAAGUUACUCAUCAUGGUCCCUGAGCUGUGAUGCUUCUCUUGUAUCAUCAGGUGGACCCAACGUCAUCGUGUGGUUUCCUCUCCCUCCCCCUC
Molecule: long non-coding RNA, 799 nt
Organism: Peromyscus leucopus (white-footed mouse)
Lineage: Eukaryota; Metazoa; Chordata; Mammalia; Rodentia; Cricetidae
Exons: 3
Source: RefSeq, a predicted model, not a curated record